RNAcentral lists this transfer RNA (82 nucleotides) under Dendrothele bispora CBS 962.96. Its description in RNAcentral is "Dendrothele bispora (strain CBS 962.96) tRNA". It matches the Rfam family "tRNA". Rfam says of the family: Transfer RNA (tRNA) molecules are approximately 80 nucleotides in length. Their secondary structure includes four short double-helical elements and three loops (D, anti-codon, and T loops). The record is from Rfam by way of RNAcentral. Lineage: Eukaryota; Fungi; Basidiomycota; Agaricomycetes; Agaricales.
UGCCCCAUGGCUGAGUUGGUUACAGCGUCCGACUGUUAUUCAGAAUAUCGGAAGGUCGAGAGUUCGAGCCUCUCUGGGGCAG